UUGGAGGGCAAGUCUGGUGCCAGCAGCCGCGGUAAUUCCAGCUCCAAUAGCGUAUAUUAAAGUUGUUGCAGUUAAAAAGCUCGUAGUUGAAUUUCGGGGUUCUACCGUUGGUCGGGCUAUUGUCUGUACUGGCGUGUAGAAUUUCUACCUUCUGGGGAACUAUCAUGUUAUUAAUUUAGCGUGGUAGGAAACCAGGACCUUUACCUUGAAAAAAUUAGAGUGUUCAAAGCAGGCUUAUGUCUGAAUACAUUAGCAUGGAGUAAUAAAAUAGGACGGUGGUCCUGUUUUGUUGGUUUCUGAAUCACCGUAAUGAUUAAUAGGGAUAGUUGGGGGCAUUAGUAUUCAAUUGUCAGAGGUGAAGUUCUUGGAUUUAUUGAAGACUAACUACUGCGAAAGCAUUUGCCAAGGAUGUUUUCAUUAAUCAAGAACGAAAGUUAGGGGAUCGAAGACGAUCAGAUACCGUCGUAGUCUUAACCAUAAACUAUGCCGACUAGGGAUCGGACGAUGUUAACUUUUCUUGACUCGUUCGGCGCCUUACGGGAAA
RNAcentral lists this ribosomal RNA (544 nucleotides) under uncultured Glomeromycotina. Its description in RNAcentral is "SSU rRNA". It matches the Rfam family "Eukaryotic small subunit ribosomal RNA", at positions 548 to 1097 of the family's 1831-position model. Lineage: Eukaryota; Fungi; Glomeromycota. The record is from RNAcentral.